Long non-coding RNA from Podarcis muralis (Common wall lizard), 2526 nucleotides. The record is from Ensembl. NCBI's taxonomy places the organism in Eukaryota, Metazoa, Chordata, Lepidosauria, Squamata, Lacertidae.
AUUUUCUGUUUUGCCAAAUUGUGAAGCCAGGACUGCAGAGAAAGGGGGUGGAGGGAUGUUGGAUUAUAACAAAUUUGGCUUAUAAUAGACUUCUAACCAAAGAGCUUGAAGUAUAAUGUUCGCCCCAAAUGAUUGACUUACUUGGAAAUGAAUCCAUGCGAAGAGAAUGCCCCUAUCAGUUUUACUUAUCACAUUCAUUAUGCAUCCACGGAUUUAUCUCAAUUAAGCCCCUUUUCAGUGAAAUCUGAAGGAUUAAUGUUCUAUUCAUAGAUCCAACUAAAAAAAAAAGCACUUUCCCCCUCCCAGUCCUUUUCUGAAGUCCUAUAUAAUGAUUCUGGUAAAAAAAAACCCCAGCCCUGAGCAAUGAACUUGCUGGCACAGGAUCCCAAGCACUGAUUGGACAAGGGAAUUGCAGAGAGGCAAUUUAAAUGGGUGCUUGCAUGGCAGUCCAGAAUCCCUUUGGUUGGGAGGGAGUGGGGAGGGAAUCUGGUGACAUGAAGGAGCCAAUCCCAUGCCACGGCCUGCUAUAUAAAGCUUUUAGUACUAGAUCGUUCCUCAGUCUGGGCAAGUUGUCAGAAGCCACCAGGCUGUUCCUACUUGACCCAAAGGUCCAUGCCUGACAGCGUCUAAAUUCUGAAAAGAAGUAUUUUUUAAAAAAUUGUAUUUAUGUAUAUAAAUGUUUCAAGGCAGCCAACAACAUUUUUUUUUUAAAUGCAGAAAUGCAGCAAAAGCAGAUGAUCAAAUAGGGGAGUAGGAAAGAAGCAGAAGAGGAAAUAUUCACCACAGUGGCUCAGAGGUGCAAUAGCUGGGAUUUUUUAAAUUAAAAAACAACAACAUGUUGCUUUCAUCACCAGAAGGUCAAAAGCAGAGGAGCUGGAAAUUGGUCCCACAGCCUCAGUGCCAUUGUGAGGAAGGCCCUCUCAUGGAUAAUUCACAUACCACCCCAUACCUCAACUGCAAGGAAUGUUUCACACCCCACAACUCCUCCUUGCCUUCCGUGCUACCAGCCGCAAUGGGCACAAGCCACCAUUUGUCCAACCUGAAAGGGAAACCAAGAUUGGUUCAGAAUGUGGGCCAGCGUAAAGAGCGAAGAGCCUUCCUACACCUGAAUCCAGAGUGGUAAAGUAAGCACUUUCUUCCCUUCAUUAUCAUUCUCUCCCCAUCUUACUCUAAGUGCUAAACUAUCAGCCCAAAGAACAGCAUUUGCAGUUAUUAACAGCAAGCCGUCAAUCUCUUUUGCCACUGCAGCUGGCGCUAACCUCAAUCCGUCUCUUUUGCACUCCCGCUGUCUUGCAUCCUCACCUCCUGAGCGAUCAGCAUGGGGUGCUAAUUUAAAGAGACAUGAGGCAGAUUGACAUUGGCUAACACCAAAACAAAAAACAGGAGGAGGGAACAACUCUACGGACAGUCAUUUUUCUUCCUCAUUUUAAGAUAUUUUAUAAAUGUACGAAUCAGUUUUUCUAUACAUUAAACAAGCAAAAACAAUUGCAGCACCAAAAGCACUUUUUAAAAAAACCCUAUAACAAUAGUUAACUGUUUAGAGAGCAUUCAUUUUGAUUGGUUUGUGGGGAGGUUAUGUGAUGUUGCAUAACCCUGAAGAGCUACUGUCAGGAGGUAAAUGCUAAGCCAAAGGUCUGAUUUCAUACAACAGGGAUGGGGAACCUAAAUCUCUCCAGACAGGGUUCGCCGGCCCACCCAUAAUAAUAAUAAUAAUAUAAUAAUAAUAAUAAUAAUAAUAAAUAAUUUAUCUAUACCCCGCCCUCCCCGGCCAGAGCCGGGCUCAGGGCGGCUAACACCAAUAAAAUUACAAUAAAAAAGUAAUAGGGGAGGGGAAAAAUAAAUAACUUAAAAUACAGGUUAAAAAUACAAUUUAAAAUGCAGCCUCAUUUUAAUAAUAGCCCAUAGAUCAAAACCAUAAGGGGAGGGAAACCUAAGGGUCAGGCUGAGUCCAAACCAAAGGCCAGGUGGAACAGCUCUGUCUUGCAGGCCUUGCAGAAAGAUGUCAAGUCCCGCAGGGCCCUAGCCUCUUGUGACAGAGCGUUCCACCAAGUCAGGGCCAGUACUGAAAAGGCCCUGGCCCUCGUUGAGACCAACCUUGUGACUUGGGACCUCCAAAAUAUUGUCAUUUGUGGACCUUAAGGUCCUCCGCGGGGCAUACCAGGAGAGGCGGUCCCGUAGGUACGUGGGUCCUAGGCCGCAGAGGGCUUCAAAGGUCAAAACCAGCACCUUAAGCCUGACCCUGUACUCCACCGGGAGUCAGUGCAGUUGGUAAAGCACUGGAUCAAUGUGAUCCCAUGGCAAGGACCCCGUGAGGAGCCUCGCCGCAGCAUUCUGCACCCGCUGGAGUUUCUGGGUCAGCUUCAAGGGCAGCCCCGUGUAGAGCGAGUUACAAUAAUCAAACCUGGAGGUGACCAUUGCAUGGAUCACUGUGGCCAGAUCAGGGUGAGAAAGGUACUGAAGCAGCCACCUUGGGUGGUGGAAUCCUGUGGGGUGGACACCCUGCCCGCCCCUACUGCUGCUAGAGUU